RNAcentral lists this ribosomal RNA (465 nucleotides) under Vreelandella stevensii. Its description in RNAcentral is "partial 16S ribosomal RNA". It matches the Rfam family "Bacterial small subunit ribosomal RNA", at positions 338 to 795 of the family's 1533-position model. Lineage: Bacteria; Pseudomonadati; Pseudomonadota; Gammaproteobacteria; Oceanospirillales; Halomonadaceae. The record is from RNAcentral.
CCUACGGGGGGCUGCAGUGGGGAAUAUUGGACAAUGGGGGCAACCCUGAUCCAGCCAUGCCGCGUGUGUGAAGAAGGCCCUCGGGUUGUAAAGCACUUUCAGUGGGGAAGAACGCCUGGUGGUUAAUACCCAUCAGGAAAGACAUCACUCACAGAAGAAGCACCGGCUAACUCCGUGCCAGCAGCCGCGGUAAUACGGAGGGUGCGAGCGUUAAUCGGAAUUACUGGGCGUAAAGCGCGCGUAGGUGGCUUGAUAAGCCGGUUGUGAAAGCCCCGGGCUCAACCUGGGAACGGCAUUCGGAACUGUCAAGCUAGAGUGCAGGAGAGGAAGGUAGAAUUCCCGGUGUAGCGGUGAAAUGCGUAGAGAUCGGGAGGAAUACCAGUGGCGAAGGCGGCCUUCUGGACUGACACUGACACUGAGGUGCGAAAGCGUGGGGAGCAAACAGGAUUAGAUACCCCAGUAGUC